CCCGGGCCUUGUACACACCGCCCGUCACACCACGAAAGCCUGUUGUACCCGAAGUCACUACGCUAACCCGCAAGGGAGGCAGGUGCCUAAGGUAUGACCGGUAAUUGGGGUG
This 112-nucleotide ribosomal RNA is filed under the name uncultured bacterium. RNAcentral describes it as "partial 16S ribosomal RNA". It matches the Rfam family "Bacterial small subunit ribosomal RNA", at positions 1373 to 1482 of the family's 1533-position model. The record is from RNAcentral.